This 253-nucleotide ribosomal RNA is filed under the name uncultured bacterium. RNAcentral describes it as "partial 16S ribosomal RNA". It matches the Rfam family "Bacterial small subunit ribosomal RNA", at positions 524 to 776 of the family's 1533-position model. The record is from RNAcentral.
AACGGGGGGGACUAGUGUUAUUCAUCCUAACGGGGCGUAAAGCGCACGUAGGCGGACAUUUAAGUCAGGGGUGAAAUCCCGGGGCUCAACCCCGGAACUGCCUUUGAUACUGGAUGUCUGGAGUAUGGAAGAGGUGAGUGGAAUUCCGAGUGUAGAGGUGAAAUUCGUAGAUAUUCGGAGGAACACCAGUGGCGAAGGCGGCUCACUGGCCCGAUACUGACGCUGAGGCGCGAAAGCGUGGGGAGCAAACAGG